UACGGAGGGUGCAAGCGUUGUUCGGAAUUACUGGGCGUAAAGGGCGCGUAGGUGGUUGUCUAAGUCAGGGGUGAAAGCCCGAAGCUCAACUGCGGAAUCGCAUUUGAAACUGGUUAGCUUGAGUACGGGAGAGGUGAGUGGAAUUCCUGGUGUAGAGGUGAAAUUCGUAGAUAUCAGGAAGAACAUCGGUGGCGAAGGCGACUGACUGGACAGGUACUGACGCUGAGGUGCGAAAGCGUGGGGAGUAAACAGG
RNAcentral lists this ribosomal RNA (253 nucleotides) under uncultured bacterium. Its description in RNAcentral is "partial 16S ribosomal RNA". It matches the Rfam family "Bacterial small subunit ribosomal RNA", at positions 524 to 776 of the family's 1533-position model. The record is from RNAcentral.